UACGGAGGGUACGAACGUUAAUCGGAAUUACUGGGCGUAAAGCGCGCGUAGGCGGUUUGUUAAGUGGGAUGUGAAAGCCCCGGGCUCAACCUGGGAACUGCAUUCCAAACUGACAGACUAGAGUAUGGUAGAGGGUGGUAGAAUUUCCUGUGUAGCGGUGAAAUGCGUAGAUAUAGGAAGGAAUACCGAUGGCGAAGGCAGCCACCUGGACCAAUACUGACGCUGAGGUGCGAAAGCGUGGGGAGCAAAC
This 250-nucleotide ribosomal RNA is filed under the name uncultured bacterium. Its description in RNAcentral is "partial 16S ribosomal RNA". It matches the Rfam family "Bacterial small subunit ribosomal RNA", at positions 524 to 773 of the family's 1533-position model. The record is from RNAcentral.